Long non-coding RNA from Pomacea canaliculata, 1967 nucleotides. RefSeq lists it as uncharacterized. The transcript has 4 exons. The record is from RefSeq and is a predicted model, not a curated record. NCBI's taxonomy places the organism in Eukaryota, Metazoa, Mollusca, Gastropoda, Architaenioglossa, Ampullariidae.
AGCCACUAGAGAACAAAUUUUCUCAAAAUGGAGAUUAAUUAAAAAUUAUCUGACGUCAACAAUGCUGCAGGAAAGAUUGGACUUGCCACAGUAACCACUUAGCAUGACUUGGUUGCUUCAUAAAAAGUGAAAAAAAAACUCUCUUUACGCAGAAAAAAGCAAGGAAGGUUGUAAAGGCUACCAGAGAUGUUCAGCACAUCGUUUGGUACGCAUGCAUGGUGUAAUCUGAGGCAUUUUUUUCUCUUGCUUUUUGCUUCUCUUGUGCACCGUUGAUCGAUGAUGAAGGGAAAGAACAUAUACGCUGUCCGUAUGUGAUAGUCUGCAUGUGUAAGUGGGAUGGACAAAAUGACCGUGUAAGCAGGACAACAAAUGGGGACGACAUUGGCCUCCUGUAAUCUCCAGACAGAUAUCAACGUGCAGAAGUUACCUGUUGCCACUUCCAAGCUCACAGUCCUGUGGCGCUGUCUGCGCUGGCGACAUGUUGCAGGUGACGGUUGCUGUGAAAGUCAUCAUCAAUUGUCAUACAGGUUCCCUUCCUUUUAGCAAUGACUCCAUUCAGAACAGUGCAACAGAAGCAAAAUCAGACAAUGUUUUAUUUUAACUUUGUUUUGAAUCGUGUAUAAAUUACACAUCAAACUUGGCUUGAAUAUACACGUUCUCACCAUUUUACCACAGCAUCACAUUUUAUGUUACCUUUCUAUUUUAAAAAAAUGUGAAUUCUGAUCCCCCAUGUGUUGUAGACGUUAAGUUAGCAUUGGCUUGCCUAAAAGAUCACACAAAAUCUUGUUGAUCAUAUCGUUGAUGAUGUUGGGAGGGGAAGGGGGCUUUGAAAAAGCGUGAUAAAGGCUUAAAAUUUGAAACAUUGUCGCCAUCACAAACUACAAGCUUGUGCUAUUUCAUCAUGAAUUAAUUGCUAAGCAUCUGUGGAUGUUACUUUGUUAUCUUCUUAACAAACAAAAAAACAAAACAAAGGCCAGUGUCGUAAACUCUGGGGCAGGAGUCCGUGGAUUUGAUAGGGGCUAUGAUUUCUGUCACCCGGUCUAACACACCGUCGAUACCCCCACCAAAUCACGUCGACAUUUCCCGCAUGCGCCUAUUCUGAAUUGCUGAUCUACACAUUUUAACUAGCUUGUCGCGAGACGCGAUCGGGCGUCGCGGGACUUACUCUCUCUCAUCACACUCACACACACAGACAAACUUCCACGCGCCCGAUGCGAGCAACGAAACCAAUCACUUCUCAGUGGACAUAAAACACUAGCACGAAGUUACAAUACAAAACUGAAAUGUAUUGGCGGUCACAGAGCGCGACCUCAACGGAUAUAAAAAAAACAACAAUAACAACAACAAAAAACCAGAUUGCAGAGAAAAGAAAAUAAAACAAACCAACAUGGGAGAACCCCACCACUUAAAAUCAAACACCCGCCCCUCUAACUAAGGGCGUUCGUGAAACCCGGCGCGGCACAACACUUUUCACGCAGUGCAGAUGAUCUCCCCUCCCAGGCCACUGCCUGAGACAACUCUCUGUUCACCUCCACGCACACACAGUCCGUUCUCAGGACGACUCGUCUGUUGCCAGGCGAUGUUGACGUCACCGUACCCGUCACAUUCCCGCCUGUUGCUCUGCGGCUUGGUGAUUGCACAGUCCGUUCUUACGACGACUUGUCUAAUGGCCGAUGGUCGAUGGUCCGAUCUCUCAGAGCCUGUUUAGAGCGAGUCUCUCGUAACGUUUAAUCAUAACACAAAUAAAAAUCCCCUAAGAUAUAAACUCAACACAUAAAGUUUCCCCCGUCCCACAUACAGCUAUGUAGAGAUCUCUUGUUGAGCCCCCAGCAUGCAUCACCCCAAAUAACAACACGAAGCAAUUUAGUAUAUUUAAGAAAUUAUUAAUCAAAUUACCAAAUGAUAAAAGGGAAUACCCAAGAACAGGUUUUGUUAGUGUUUUUAUGCCGUGCUCGGAACAAUGGCUA